This is a long non-coding RNA of Syzygium oleosum, 320 nucleotides long. RefSeq lists it as uncharacterized. The transcript is spliced from 2 exons. NCBI's taxonomy places the organism in Eukaryota, Viridiplantae, Streptophyta, Magnoliopsida, Myrtales, Myrtaceae. The record is from RefSeq and is a predicted model, not a curated record.
GUAUGGACGCUUGAAAUCUUACUUGUCAAAGUACACGUGCAAAAUAUAGCACGUGUUUCUAAGGUUAUGUGUUUUCAUUGGACCAUUGGGCCAUAUUUUCAUGCUAUUUCUUCUUUCGUCAUGGACUUUAGGUGUUGGACCGUGGGGAGAGAAUUGAACUUCUGGUUGACAAAACAGAGAACCUGCAAUUCCAGGCCGACAUUUUCCAAAGGCAAGGAAGGCAACUACGUAGGAAGAUGUGGUUUCAGAAUCUCCAAAUGAAGGUUAUGGUGGGCGGAGUAGUCGUCAUAGUAAUAUUCUUGCUGUGGCUCAUAGCAAAA